RNAcentral lists this non-coding RNA (85 nucleotides) under human gut metagenome. RNAcentral describes it as "Glycine riboswitch". It matches the Rfam family "Glycine riboswitch aptamer", at positions 9 to 86 of the family's 94-position model. Rfam says of the family: This family represents the bacterial glycine riboswitch. The record is from RNAcentral.
UUCUCCGGAGAGACCCGUUUAGUCGGGCGCCGAAGGGGCAAAGCGAUUAUGAUUCGCUCAAUCUCUCAGGCAAAAGGACGGAGCG